AAAUUGAAGAGUUUGAUCAUGGCUCAGAUUGAACGCUGGCGGCAGGCCUAACACAUGCAAGUCGAACGGUAACAGGAAGCAGCUUGCUGCUUUGCUGACGAGUGGCGGACGGGUGAGUAAUGUCUGGGAAACUGCCUGAUGGAGGGGGAUAACUACUGGAAACGGUGGCUAAUACCGCAUAACGUCGCAAGACCAAAGAGGGGGACCUUCGGGCCUCUUGCCAUCAGAUGUGCCCAGAUGGGAUUAGCUUGUUGGUGAGGUAACGGCUCACCAAGGCGACGAUCCCUAGCUGGUCUGAGAGGAUGACCAGCCACACUGGAACUGAGACACGGUCCAGACUCCUACGGGAGGCAGCAGUGGGGAAUAUUGCACAAUGGGCGCAAGCCUGAUGCAGCCAUGCCGCGUGUAUGAAGAAGGCCUUCGGGUUGUAAAGUACUUUCAGCGGGGAGGAAGGUGUUGCGGUUAAUAACCGCAGCAAUUGACGUUACCCGCAGAAGAAGCACCGGCUAACUCCGUGCCAGCAGCCGCGGUAAUACGGAGGGUGCAAGCGUUAAUCGGAAUUACUGGGCGUAAAGCGCACGCAGGCGGUCUGUCAAGUCGGAUGUGAAAUCCCCGGGCUCAACCUGGGAACUGCAUUCGAAACUGGCAGGCUUGAGUCUUGUAGAGGGGGGUAGAAUUCCAGGUGUAGCGGUGAAAUGCGUAGAGAUCUGGAGGAAUACCGGUGGCGAAG
Molecule: ribosomal RNA, 730 nt
Filed under: Salmonella enterica
Lineage: Bacteria; Pseudomonadati; Pseudomonadota; Gammaproteobacteria; Enterobacterales; Enterobacteriaceae
Description: bacterial SSU rRNA
Rfam family: Bacterial small subunit ribosomal RNA
Source: RNAcentral